UAAACUACGAUUAGAUACCCUAUUAUUUUAAAUGUAAAGAGUUACUUGCUAGAGUAGUAGUAGAUAUGAUCUUGAAACUCAAAGAAUUUGGCGGUGCUUUAGUCCUUUCAGAGGAACCUGCCCCAUAAUCGAUAGUCCACGUUAUAUCUUACUUGAUCUUGUAGCCAGCUUGUAUACCGCCGUCGUCAGAAUGUCCUUGUAGGGAAUUAAUUUUCUUGAUUUUUAAAUAGAAUGGAUGUCAGGUCAAGGUGCAGUUAAUGGUCAAGAGGAGGUGGGUUACAAUAAAUUAAUUUAGAUGGAAAAUAAUUUUUAAUAGUUAUUUGAAGGUGGAUUUGAUUGUAAUUUUGUAAAUAAAAGCAAUUUGAUUUUGGCUCUAAAGCAUGCACACAUCGCCCGUCGCUCUUA
This 405-nucleotide ribosomal RNA is filed under the name Perlinella drymo. RNAcentral describes it as "partial 12S ribosomal RNA". The stretch from base 52 to 405 matches the Rfam family "Microsporidia small subunit ribosomal RNA", at positions 752 to 1207 of the family's 1311-position model. The record is from RNAcentral. Lineage: Eukaryota; Metazoa; Arthropoda; Insecta; Plecoptera; Perlidae.